UACGUAGGGUGCGAGCGUUAAUCGGAAUUACUGGGCGUAAAGCGUGCGCAGGCGGUUUUGUAAGACAGGCGUGAAAUCCCCGGGCUUAACUUGGGAAUGGCGCUUGAGACUGGAAGGCUAGAGUAUGUCAGAGGGGGGUAGAAUUCCACGUGUAGCAGUGAAAUGCGUAGAGAUGUUGAGGAAUACCGAUGGCGAAGGCAGCUCCCUGGGACGUCACUGACGCUCAUGCACGAAAGCGUGGGGAGCAAUCAGG
Molecule: ribosomal RNA, 253 nt
Filed under: uncultured prokaryote
Description: partial 16S ribosomal RNA
Rfam family: Bacterial small subunit ribosomal RNA
Source: RNAcentral